GACUUCCUCUCACUGGCAAGAACAGCAGCCACCCAGAGUCACUGAUUGCUAUUCAUCUGUCACCAAGGAAAAAUCUCUCUUCUUCCCCCCCCCCCCAAACACACACACAAACACACACACACACACACACACACACACACACUCACACAUUUAUGCACACACCAUAGAAUUACAUUUGCACCUGUAGGGUUUCUCUUGAAGAAAUCCAAACCCAUCCACUUUCACAGGACCCCCCCCCCCCCCAUCCCUUUCUUUUUUUCUUUGCUAUUUUGGGCUUAAGGCCAUCUGGUUUAGGAGACAGGCUCUUCACUCUGAGGCCGCUAAUGAAUCUGACUCUUCCUGUCUAACUCCUCAAUAUCGUUUGCUUCCUAAACACUAAACGCGAGCUGUGUUUCCUUUCUCCUCUUCUUCAAGCACACAUGUUCAUUACCUGGAACUUUGGGGGGCCGUGCAUUUGUUGCUGUCCAGCAUCGGAUUUCAUUUUUAGCUCUCUGAGAACCUCAGAUGGCUGCACUGAUGAGACCUCCAGUGGCCUGAGAGAUACCAAGCCGUGUCCCCUCACACAGGUGCCACUCACAGGACAGAGGAGUCUGGAUGUGAUGGGGGAGAGACAGAAACCAGCACUCGGUAUCUUCGCUGAGAAGUGGAGAGCAGUAUCUGGCUCCGAGUGUUGAACGGCUCAUUGCCUCUGCUGUUCCUGUCUUCCUUCAUGUUAAGAAAACAGAAGAUGCAGUCAAACUUUGAGUUAAUGGGUCUGCUCCAUUCAUUAUUUACCCAGGGUGGUGCUUUAUCACAGAGGCUCCUAAGUGUUUGACAAAGAAGGCAUCUCAUUAGCGCCUGGGAGGUUAUGGGUUGGCCAGAUGGUGGCUGUUUUCUUCUUUUCCUGGAGAGAGGCACAAGUGUCUCAGACUGUGUGGCAGCGGUUUCAGUUCUGAGGAUCCUAGCAAGCAAGUCACGUGCCUUCCUUCCUGAGUCCUGCCUUACACUUUGGUAAACGUAAAAAGCAAACACUUUCCAGUCUCUUGCUGGCAUGUAGGUGCUGCAGAGAUGGUGUUUAUGUGCGACAGAGUCCUACAGAAACAAGGGAAGAGUAGCUCCCAGGUGCAGCUAGUAUCCUUGACCUAGUAGCUAUUCUCAGCCCUGGGCAUACUGACAAAGGAGGUGGGGAGGGGUGACUCAUCACCUUUGAUUCUUAGCUAGUGGCAUAUGUAUGUAUGUAUGUAUGUAUGUAUGUAUGUAUGUAUAUAUGUAUAUAUGUAUGUAUAUAUGUAUGCAUGUAUAUGUGUACAUAUAUAUAUAUACACACAUACAUAUAUAUGUUAUUCAGUAUCAGAAAACUAGUUAAAUGUAGGUCUUUUAGGUCUUUCCCCUUCUAAGAACCAGGGGCAAAGAGAACCAUACCCUAAUUAAUUAAUACAGGAAUAGGAAAAGUUUUAUUAUGGUAUACAAUGAAUGAGGAGCUGGUUCACAUCUUUUAUGCUGAACAAAAUCUAGUAAUUCCAACGAUAACACUAAUCAUCACAGAGCAGCAAGGGCUGUUUACUUAGUACUUCUGCAUGUCUCUGUUGAACUUGAUGCUGGAUGAGCACCAGCUAGUUUAGUCACCAGGCCAGUCUUAAGAGGUUUUCAUGUAGCAUAAAUUAAGCACCCAGUCCACAUCAUUUUAGGCAGUUAGGAUGGGUCUGGGAACGAGACAGCAGUGGAUAACAGGCAGUUGUCGUAGUAAAUAAAUUAUAUAGAAUACUAGAACGUGAUAAGUGCCAGGAAAAAAGAAAGAAUAGGAAAAUAUUUGGGGUGAGCAAACGAUAAGUUAAGCAGUCAUGAAGGGGGUGGUAGCACAUCAGAGACUUUGAGGAGAUCAAGGAGGGAGAUGGAAGCAAAGGCAGAGCUAGUCAAAGGCCGAGAUGCGAGGUGGCAGAGCGCUAGAUGCUUUUGGGGAGCAGUUGGGUGGAAUGCUCUGUUGAGUGGACCAGGAGAUGAGAUGAGGGAGGCACUGGGGCAGGGGCGGGGGGAGAAUUACGGAGAGGGGAGCAACGGAAGGGUUUUGAGCAAAAGGAAAAGAUCUGGCUUACUCUGGCAGCCGUGGCGAAAUAAGCAGUGUAUUAUUCCUAUUGUAUGUUACAUCCUGGGUCGGGUUAUCGUUCCAAAGUAACAGCUAGUUAGCGGCAGAGUGAGACAGUCUCCUACGUAACUUUAGACCUCAUGGCUUUGAGUGCACUAUUGUCUCUGUGAUAUGAUCAAAACCACUCUUCCUGCAAACAGAUGAUUGUCCUACUUUCAACCUGCUUCUCCUGCGGCCGAUCUACCAUGCAGGGAUGGGGUAAGCUAGAGGUUUGAUCUCGUGCUAUCAGUGAAUCUCUUUGCCGGCUUGCUUAUUUGCAGACUGGUCUCACUGUGAGACCAAAUGCUUUGUGAUUCCAGCUUUGCUUUCCAUUGCCCCAUAAAGGAGCGGGGACACAGGGAAAACCCCAUUUCCCCUCUGGGCCCUUUUUGGGAUGGAGACUGAUGUCAGGCAUUGGGCACUCUCAACACCAUCUUCAAUGGCCUAGGGAGUUGAUGGCAGAGAGAUCAUGGCUACUCUGUGGGAAACAGGGCUCUAUUUCAUUUCUUCUCCCAGAGUUAACACUCCUCUCUCAGCGGGGGCUCCUUUAAUGAAUCAAUUAAGGAGGGUAUUAUUAUUGGAAGCUGUUUUCAGCCCAAUUAAGACCUUUUGGCAUGUCAGUAACGAUAAUAAAAGUGAGUUAAGUCUCAAUUUUUCUUUAUUAGGAUGUUUAUUAGAAGAUUGAAAUGUUCAUUAGGUGAAGAAAAGUGAUAACAUUCAUCUUUGCUCAUCAGAAGCACAAUGGAACCUCAGUUACACUCAGUGUUACUGUGGUUGUGUGUGUGUCUCUGAGUGUGUGUGUGCGUGUGUACAUGGGUGUGCAUGUGCAUCUGUGUCUGUGUGCGUGUACAUGCAUAUGUGUUUCUGGGUUUUAACUCUACUUUGGCUCCAUAGAAAAACAAUUUUGGAGUCAUAAUUAAUUAAUUAAUUAAUUAGGCUGAAGAAUUCAAUGUUGACCACGUCUCUUGCUUUGGAGUGAGAUGCAAGGCCAAUGUCCAAAUCAGGGAGGAGCCAAGUCUGGAAGGUUUGGGAGCACAGGGGCUUAUUUUAGACCAGUUUCGGAAAUUCGUAAUUUUGGACCAAAAAUAACAUGUAGAAAAGUAGAAGAAGGAAAUUAUUUAAACUUUAGCAUUUUCCUCAUAUUUAUCCCCCUUCUUUUAAAAACGGAGCCAUUCUGGAUUCAGCUGAGGCGUCUCAUGGAAGCCUUCCUGAUUUUAUUUCCUGGUCCUUCAUAUUCUCGUUUCCAAGGAUUUUUUAUGCUUACAAAUCUGGUAUUUAUCAUACCUUACAGGCUUUUUUGCCAUUGCCGUGCGGUUCUGGUGUGUGUUCCUUCAUAAGAAUGUGAAGCAUUGUUUUGCUUCCUUUCUGUCUUGACACAUAUAUGUGAGCUUAUUUUCCUUAUUGUAUAAUAGUUCUCUGAAUUUCUAUUGACCUCAAUUAAUUUAACUCAGCACUGUACUUCUGAACACGUUGCUAACUUUUAAAAUCAUAAAUCACACUGCAGUGUACAUUCUGAGCCAUGUAUCCCCAUGUAUGAAUGCAAAUGUUUCUCUAGACUCGAGUUAUCACGUCUUAAAACAAGGUGGAAAUGGAUUUUACAUAGCAUUUCUUGCAUAAGUCAUUCAUAUUCCCAAAUAAAAGUUUUAUGAAGUAA
Molecule: long non-coding RNA, 3755 nt
Organism: Mus musculus (house mouse)
Lineage: Eukaryota; Metazoa; Chordata; Mammalia; Rodentia; Muridae
Product: predicted gene, 51655
Exons: 2
Source: RefSeq, a predicted model, not a curated record